GGAAUUUUGCGCAAUGGGCGAAAGCCUGACGCAGCAACGCCGCGUGGAGGACGAAGGCUUUCGAGUCGUAAACUCCUGUCCUCGGGGACGAAUUCAUGACGGUACCCGGGGAGGAAGCCCCGGCUAACUCCGUGCCAGCAGCCGCGGGAAUACGGAGGGGGCUAGCGUUGUUCGGAAUUACUGGGCGUAAAGGGCGCGUAGGCGGUAUGUCAAGUCAGGGGUGAAAGGCCUGGGCUCAACCCAGGAAUUGCCUUUGAAACUGGCAAACUAGAGUCCGAAAGAGGAUGGCGGAAUUCCCAGUGUAGAGGUGAAAUUCGUAGAUAUUGGGAAGAACACCGGUGGCGAAGGCGGCCAUCUGGAUCGGCACUGACGCUGAGGCGCGAAAGCGUGGGGAGCA
Molecule: ribosomal RNA, 397 nt
Filed under: uncultured bacterium
Lineage: Bacteria
Description: bacterial SSU rRNA
Rfam family: Bacterial small subunit ribosomal RNA
Source: RNAcentral